AACUGAAACAUCUAAGUACCCCGAGGAGAAGAAAUCAACCGAGAUUCCGGUAGUAGCGGCGAGCGAACCUGGAUUAGCCCUUAAGCACUCGGUGAAGUAGGUGAACAAGCUGGAAAGCUUGGCGAUACAGGGUGAUAGCCCCGUAACCGACGCUUCAUCGAGCGUGAAAUCGAGUAGGGCGGGACACGUGAUAUCCUGUCUGAAUAUGGGGGGACCAUCCUCCAAGGCUAAAUACUCCUGACUGACCGAUAGUGAACCAGUACCGUGAGGGAAAGGCGAAAAGAACCCCUGUGAGGGGAGUGAAAUAGAACCUGAAACCGUGUACGUACAAGCAGUAGGAGCACCUUCGUGGUGUGACUGCGUACCUUUUGUAUAAUGGGUCAGCGACUUAUAUUCAGUGGCAAGGUUAACCGUAUAGGGGAGCCGUAGCGAAAGCGAGUCUUAACUGGGCGCUCAGUCUCUGGAUAUAGACCCGAAACCGGGUGAUCUAGCCAUGGGCAGGUUGAAGGUUGAGUAACAUCAACUGGAGGACCGAACCGACUAAUGUUGAAAAAUUAGCGGAUGACUUGUGGCUAGGGGUGAAAGGCCAAUCAAACUCGGAGAUAGCUGGUUCUCCCCGAAAGCUAUUUAGGUAGCGCCUCGGACGAAUACUACUGGGGGUAGAGCACUGUUAAGGCUAGGGGGUCAUCCCGACUUACCAACCCUUUGCAAACUCCGAAUACCAGUAAGUACUAUCCGGGAGACACACGGCGGGUGCUAACGUCCGUCGUGGAGAGGGAAACAACCCAGACCGCCAGCUAAGGUCCCAAAGUAUUGCUAAGUGGGAAACGAUGUGGGAAGGCUCAGACAGCUAGGAUGUUGGCUUAGAAGCAGCCAUCAUUUAAAGAAAGCGUAAUAGCUCACUAGUCGAGUCGGCCUGCGCGGAAGAUGUAACGGGGCUAAGCAAUACACCGAAGCUGCGGCAAUGUCUUUUAGACAUUGGGUAGGGGAGCGUUCUGUAAGCCGUUGAAGGUGAAUCGUAAGGUUUGCUGGAGGUAUCAGAAGUGCGAAUGCUGACAUGAGUAACGACAAAGGGGGUGAAAAACCUCCUCGCCGGAAGACCAAGGGUUCCUGUCCAACGUUAAUCGGGGCAGGGUGAGUCGACCCCUAAGGUGAGGCCGAAAGGCGUAAUCGAUGGGAAACGGGUUAAUAUUCCCGUACUUCUGACUAUUGCGAUGGGGGGACGGAGAAGGCUAGGUGGGCCAGGCGACGGUUGUCCUGGUUCAAGUGCGUAGGCUUGAGAGUUAGGUAAAUCCGGCUCUCUUUAAGGCUGAGACACGACGUCGAGCUACUACGGUAGUGAAGUCAUUGAUGCCAUGCUUCCAGGAAAAGCCUCUAAGCUUCAGAUAGUCAGGAAUCGUACCCCAAACCGACACAGGUGGUCGGGUAGAGAAUACCAAGGCGCUUGAGAGAACUCGGGUGAAGGAACUAGGCAAAAUGGUACCGUAACUUCGGGAGAAGGUACGCUCUUGAUGGUGAAGUCCCUCGCGGAUGGAGCUGACGAGAGUCGCAGAUACCAGGUGGCUGCAACUGUUUAUUAAAAACACAGCACUGUGCAAAAUCGCAAGAUGACGUAUACGGUGUGACGCCUGCCCGGUGCCGGAAGGUUAAUUGAUGGGGUUAGCGCAAGCGAAGCUCUUGAUCGAAGCCCCGGUAAACGGCGGCCGUAACUAUAACGGUCCUAAGGUAGCGAAAUUCCUUGUCGGGUAAGUUCCGACCUGCACGAAUGGCGUAAUGAUGGCCACGCUGUCUCCACCCGAGACUCAGUGAAAUUGAAAUCGCUGUGAAGAUGCAGUGUACCCGCGGCUAGACGGAAAGACCCCGUGAACCUUUACUACAGCUUGGCACUGAACAUUGAACCUACAUGUGUAGGAUAGGUGGGAGGCUAUGAAGACGUGACGCCAGUUGCGUUGGAGCCGUCCUUGAAAUACCACCCUUGUAUGUUUGAUGUUCUAACUUAGACCCAUUAUCUGGGUUGAGGACAGUGCCUGGUGGGUAGUUUGACUGGGGCGGUCUCCUCCCAAAGAGUAACGGAGGAGCACGAAGGUGGGCUAAUCACGGUUGGACAUCGUGAGGUUAGUGCAAUGGCAUAAGCCCGCUUAACUGCGAGAAUGACGGUUCGAGCAGGUGCGAAAGCAGGUCAUAGUGAUCCGGUGGUUCUGUAUGGAAGGGCCAUCGCUCAACGGAUAAAAGGUACUCCGGGGAUAACAGGCUGAUACCGCCCAAGAGUUCAUAUCGACGGCGGUGUUUGGCACCUCGAUGUCGGCUCAUCACAUCCUGGGGCUGAAGUCGGUCCCAAGGGUAUGGCUGUUCGCCAUUUAAAGUGGUACGCGAGCUGGGUUUAGAACGUCGUGAGACAGUUCGGUCCCUAUCUGCCGUGGGCGUUGGAAGAUUGAAGGGGGCUGCUCCUAGUACGAGAGGACCGGAGUGGACGAACCUCUGGUGUUCGGGUUGUGUCGCCAGACGCAUUGCCCGGUAGCUAAGUUCGGAAUUGAUAAGCGCUGAAAGCAUCUAAGCGCGAAGCGAGCCCUGAGAUGAGUCUUCCCUGAUACUUUAAGUAUCCUAAAGGGUUGUUCGAGACUAGAACGUUGAUAGGCAGGGUGUGUAAGCGUUGUGAGGCGUUGAGCUAACCUGUACUAAUUGCCCGUGAGGCUUAACCAU
This 2700-nucleotide ribosomal RNA is filed under the name Vibrio cholerae. RNAcentral's name for it is "partial 23S ribosomal RNA". It matches the Rfam family "Bacterial large subunit ribosomal RNA". Lineage: Bacteria; Pseudomonadati; Pseudomonadota; Gammaproteobacteria; Vibrionales; Vibrionaceae. The record is from RNAcentral.